Long non-coding RNA from Marmota monax (woodchuck), 3958 nucleotides. RefSeq lists it as uncharacterized. The record is from RefSeq and is a predicted model, not a curated record. The transcript has 3 exons. NCBI's taxonomy places the organism in Eukaryota, Metazoa, Chordata, Mammalia, Rodentia, Sciuridae.
CAGAGGCAGAUGGUGGUGGCAUUUCCUUCUUGCCGGGAGCUCAGAUACUGUCUGGAUGGAUUUCAGCAGGUUUUGAAGCCAUCCCCUCUCUGUGCGGUCGCUUUCCUGGAUGGAGCCCCAGCCACCCAGGCUGCAGACUGAUUUUAUUUAACUAAGAUGACUUGUGGUAAACAAAGGAGAACCCCAAAAUCUGCCUGCAUGAGUAGAAUCUCCCAUCACGUCGUGGGUGCGCCCGCCCCGAGAUGGUGGCGUGUGUUGUCUGGGCUGUUUUUCAUAGUCUCUGCAGCUGGGAAUACAAGAUGCUAUACUUAGGCAGAAGUCCAUGAAGGAAUUAAUUGAUAUGAGCCAGAAGUUGAUUGCCAUUUAAGUACUCAGCUUCCACCAUUGCCAAGUUUCCCUCUUUGCAGAAAGAACUGAGCUUGCCUGCAAACUGGCUCAUUCAGGAUAUGAGCACAAGAUGGAAUUCAACCUUUAAUAUGCUGCAACACCUGCUUGGAAAUAAAGGGGCUCUGUGCUUUUCCCCCCCAAGGAGUUGACAGCUGACUUCAUUACAGAGGAAUCUGGCAGAGGUGGUGGUGGCUACUCCUCCAUCUCAGGAGGCACUCACCCAGGAAUGCGGUGCCAACCAGACCUGAGCUUUGGGAUCCUGCCAGAAACUCAUGCUGGGCCAUUUUAUCCUAAAGCAUCCCUCUUCCUUGAACUCUAGUUUUCAGUACCUUUGGUGGAAGCUUCCUUCACGCAAGGGAGUUGGUGAGGGGCUCUGGCCUGCUGAAGCUAAGUGGAGAAGCAUUUGCAGGUGUUCUGUAAUGGAAGCUGGAUUUCUAAACUUCCUUUCUCAAGGGUUCUGUGAUGCUGCACCCAACAGGCACAAGCAGACACAAAGUCAAGGCUGCCAUGCUCUAUGGAGUGGAACUUGAGGGUUGACUGGAGUCCUCAUCCGAGUUCUGAAACAGACUCUGAGCUGCUGAGAAGCUUGGGUCAGCCUGUGGGGGCCCCUAGUAGGUCUCUGAUGCCAUGAUCUCCGAUUUGGGCUGAAAUAUUGGUGAUACUUAUCAAUUUAAAUUUUUUUUUUAGUUAGAGGUAAACACAAUGCCUUUAUUUAAUUUAUUUAUUAUGUGGUGCCAAGAAUCAAACCCAGUGCCUCACAUAUGCUAGGCAAGUGCUCUACCACUGAGCCACAACCCCAGCCCUGAUACUUAUCAAUUUUCAAGGUAGAGUUUCAACUCUAUCAUCGAUGUGCGUGAUUUCCGAAAACAUACUAAUCUGGCCUCUAAUAGCCAGAGUAGCAUCAGUGGAUAUUAACUUUCUAUUACAUGUUAUCCUUCCUCUCUUAAAAUAAUCUACUUGAAAUCUCAAUGUCCAGGAUUGAGAUCCAACAGAUCAUAUAGAAUAAAUCUGUCUGGUGGAUUACUGCUCAUUCUUAAGCAAAGCAAAGUAGCUGCAGGGAUACUUCAAAACUGCAUAUAGUUGCACAUUUAAAACAAGGCACAAUUCAAACUUAUACAGCAAAAAAUCAGAUUGUUAUUUUAAAUUAUUACUUAAAAAAAUAACUGGAAUUAGGGGAAAAAAAGAUAUAGUUGAUGCUUUAGAGGUCAAAACUGGCAAUCUGAGUCAGGCCUGGCCUGAAAGUACAUCUCAUAUGGUCUACACAGUGGGAGUCAACAGUUUGAAUUUUUCAAAAAUGGAGUAGGAUGCCAACAUUUGGAAAUUGGAACAUAGCAUAUAACCCCCUGGGUUGCUGGCUCCUCCUGAGACCCAGGCAAUAUGGCACCAGGAAUCCUUUACCUGCAGGCUCCAGGAAGGGCAGGUGAGUUGGACAUUGACUCUCAAGGCUACCAGAAGUCCCACUGGCCCAGGUUUCUCACCAGUUGUGUUAGUACUCCCUGGACCAGGUAAGGAUGGGCUUCUGGAUCAUUUUCCCUUGUCUCCUUCUCCUCACAGUGGAUACUGGUGAUGCUGUUACUUUAGAGUUAAAAUAAUUAGAUGAUGCUCAGUUGUUGAGGGAAGCAUGCUGAAGAUCCAUGCUACUUUUCUACUCCUCAGAUGUUAUUUUGAAGCUUCAGUCCUGAGUCCAAUACACUCCCCUGAGAAUGCAAGUUUGGAUCAGUGUGUCUCAUGCUUGGCCAUCUUAAAUUCCCCUGGGGAGCUGUGGAUACCCGGCUUGCACUCUAGGCCAAUAAAUCCUCUGGGUUGAGACUCAGACAAUGUAAUUAAAAAAAAAAAUUGUCAUGGUGAUUUCAGAAUAAAGGGGGCCUUUAGGCCCUUGAAAAUUCAUACAAACCUUUCCAUGACAGCAGCUUCUUAACCUCGGUAUCAUUGACAUAUGGGGCCAGAUAAUUCUUUGUUCCUGUGCAUUGUCCUUGGCCUCUGCUCAUAGAUGCAACAGCAUUCUAUGAGAUGAGAACCACUGCAUUCAGUCAUAAAAUUAUGGUCAGGAGUGGUGUUUAUUAUGUUGGCCACCCAGAUAUAAGAACUUUGAGAAAUUUCUUUUGGAAUCAUGUGCCAGGAAAGCAUUUUCUCUUGGGGAACUGAUAUAUUUCUUUCUUUUUGGUUACUUUCCCUCCUUUUACUGCUGGGAAGCUCCAAGUCUGUACCCCAGUUGGAUUUCUUCCCCUCUGACUGCAGGAUGCUGAUUUCCUAAUUAAUGCUUUGCUAAUCUUUAUUCUAAGCUCCCUUUUAUCCUUAGGGAAUGAGGUAGAAUAAACAAGGUAACCUGUCAGAGGCUGGAAUGACCAUUCCAAGCACUGUGCAGUAUGUAUGAUCCAAGGAAACAUGACUUGCAAGGAGGAAGGCCCUGCUAACCAUGGACUACCUGUGGUCAAUGAGGAUCAAUCAACUAUCUGGAGCAGAUAAUGCUUAGCCCCUCUGGCCUCCCAGCUUUGGGAAGAGGCUGAACCCUGCCUGUGUUGGAGCAGCCUGAAGGCCAGUGGUGGGAGCCCACUCAGAAUGGCUGUGGUGACAGUCAUCUUCCAGAACUACCCCAUGCCUGUGUGAAGGCUGAUGACCAAGUUCUGUCACCUUCCCUGGCCGAGUGAUCCAAGGCCAGGAGGUGAAGCAAUUUGGAGAAGACCCCAUUGGGAUCAGUGCCAGAACCAGAACUAACAGCCAUCUGACUCCCUGCUCUGUGCUUUGUCUUCUGAACAAUGCUGCUUCUUAAGUACACAUAAGCCAAACUGCCUCUCAAAUUGCAGCCAUCUACUUUGAGUUCAGAUUUGCACAGCAUGACAUGAAUUGGGCUGCAAAUUAUGCAGAAAACAGCCAUCACAUCCAUCUGUGAUGUCAGAAUCCUCAAGUACAUCGUGACCUGUUAGUAUCUAAGAGAGUGGAAGUAGACUGGGUCUGAUUCCUUCCCUGUGCAGUAUGAUGAAUAUCCUCCCAGAUGCAUUUGGCCCAGUGUGAAAAGGUUAAAUAUGAUUGAGAUUAUGCCUGGGAUAUGCUCAAGAGCAGAUUUCAUAUCCAAGGGUGCUGGCAAUUAGAUUUUUUUAAAAAAAAUGAUAGAGUAACUAGAAGAAGAAAACACACAAAUACACUCAUACCUAAUGGUAAACUGAAUUUAUUUCCUCUUGGAAAACAAUUCCAGUAAUCUCCAGGUUCAGACCGCAGAGUAAACAUUAAUAACAGUAACAUACAGGUUAGUUCAACUGAUUCAAGAAUUUGGCUGUGUGAAUCAUUAAGGAAAACCUUGAACACUCAAAGCUUCAAUUGUAUCCAGGAAAAAAAAAAUUCUUUUGACAGUCUACAUAACAACUAUUGCAUAUAUAGUGAUGCUACCUGUCACAUCGCAAGGCUUACAAAUAUAUAUACGGGCCGUAUCCAGCUUGGGGUUCUGUUCUGUGAGAACAUCUCUUCAUGGUUUGCAAGAAUCUUCAGCAAUAAAAAAUAGUCUUGGAUUUUAACUGUUGAUAUACCAAAAGAGAAAUUCUAGGCUUAAGUGUAAAUAAAAGGAAGUCCAACCAUA